CCAACCGUAUCUGAUUGGUCUGCAAGAGUGCGUCUUGGAGGAGUUCUUUCAGCCAUCUCCUCUAUUAUUCUAUUUGGUGAAGGUGAUAGUAAUAUGUCAGGUGAAGGAAACAAAUCCCUAGAUGGGCGUCUGACUCUCCUUCUCCCUCUUGUUUUGCUUAAGCCUUCAAGAAGAGGUUGCGUAUUUUUCUUGCUCCUAGUAUGUCUCGUCUC
This 212-nucleotide long non-coding RNA is filed under the name Vigna radiata. RNAcentral's name for it is "long non-coding RNA (VRAD_LNC015614)". Lineage: Eukaryota; Viridiplantae; Streptophyta; Magnoliopsida; Fabales; Fabaceae. The record is from RNAcentral.